This 462-nucleotide ribosomal RNA is filed under the name Streptococcus agalactiae. RNAcentral's name for it is "bacterial SSU rRNA". It matches the Rfam family "Bacterial small subunit ribosomal RNA", at positions 338 to 796 of the family's 1533-position model. Lineage: Bacteria; Bacillati; Bacillota; Bacilli; Lactobacillales; Streptococcaceae. The record is from RNAcentral.
CCUACGGGUGGCAGCAGUGAGGAAUAUUGGUCAAUGGGCGCGAGCCUGAACCAGCCAAGUAGCGUGAAGGAUGACGGCCCUAUGGGUUGUAAACUUCUUUUAUAUGGGAAUAAAGUUUGGUAUGCAUACCAUUUUGUAUGUACCAUAUGAAUAAGGAUCGGCUAACUCCGUGCCAGCAGCCGCGGUAAUACGGAGGAUCCGAGCGUUAUCCGGAUUUAUUGGGUUUAAAGGGAGCGUAGGUGGAUUGUUAAGUCAGUUGUGAAAGUUUGCGGCUCAACCGUAAAAUUGCAGUUGAAACUGGCAGUCUUGAGUACAGUAGAGGUGGGCGGAAUUCGUGGUGUAGCGGUGAAAUGCUUAGAUAUCACGAAGAACUCCGAUUGCGAAGGCAGCUCACUGGACUGUUGACUGACACUGAGGCUCGAAAGUGUGGGUAUCAAACAGGAUUAGAUACCCGAGUAGUCU